ACGCCCGGUAUGCCGGCCGGCGGCCGCACUCGCUCUCCGGCGGCGAGCAGCAGCGGGUCGCGCUCGCCCGGGCGCUC
RNAcentral lists this transfer RNA (77 nucleotides) under Asanoa ferruginea. RNAcentral describes it as "tRNA-Arg". Lineage: Bacteria; Bacillati; Actinomycetota; Actinomycetes; Micromonosporales; Micromonosporaceae. The record is from RNAcentral.